GGGGUGCUCGAGUGGCAACGGGUGAGUAACACGUGAGUAACCUGCCCUUGACUUUGGGAUAACUUCAGGAAACUGGGGCUAAUACCGGAUAGGAGCUCCUGCUGCAUGGUGGGGGUUGGAAAGUUUCGGCGGUUGGGGAUGGACUCGCGGCUUAUCAGCUUGUUGGUGGGGUAGUGGCUUACCAAGGCUUUGACGGGUAGCCGGCCUGAGAGGGUGACCGGCCACAUUGGGACUGAGAUACGGCCCAG
This 248-nucleotide ribosomal RNA is filed under the name uncultured Actinomycetales bacterium. Its description in RNAcentral is "partial 16S ribosomal RNA". It matches the Rfam family "Bacterial small subunit ribosomal RNA", at positions 101 to 334 of the family's 1533-position model. Lineage: Bacteria; Bacillati; Actinomycetota; Actinomycetes; Actinomycetales. The record is from RNAcentral.